This 497-nucleotide ribosomal RNA is filed under the name uncultured bacterium. Its description in RNAcentral is "partial 16S ribosomal RNA". It matches the Rfam family "Bacterial small subunit ribosomal RNA", at positions 28 to 507 of the family's 1533-position model. The record is from RNAcentral.
GACGAACGCUGGCGGCAUGCCUUAUACAUGCAAGUUGAGCGGCAGCGGUUGGUCAUUGUUGCGACUGGGUGGGCAACGAACGGGUGAGUAACGCGUGGGGAAUCUCCAUUUGGGCGGAGGACAACAAUUGGAAACGAAUGACAACACCGGAUAAAAACUUUAAACCCAAGUAUUAAGGUUGAAAGCUGCAAUUGCAUCACUCAAAGGUGCUCCCGCGUUGUAUUAGCUAGAUGGUGUGGUAAAGGCUCACCAAGGCGAUGAUACAUAGCCGACCGGAGACGGUGAUUGGCCACAAUUGGACUGGGACACGGCCCAAACUCCUACGGGGGGCAGCAGUAGGGAAUCUUCGGACAUGGAGGGAAGCCCGACCCAGGACAGCCGGGGGGGGGAAGAAGGUUUUCGGAUCGGAAAACUCUGUUGGUAGAGAAGAAAGUGGGUGGGACUGGAAAGCUCAUCAAGUGACGGUAACGACCGAGGAAGGAACGGCUAACUACGUG